GACGAACGCUGGCGGCGUGCUUAACACAUGCAAGUCGAACGGAAAGGCCCUGCUUUUGUGGGGUGCUCGAUUGGCGAACGGGUGAGUAACACGUGAGUAACCUGCCCUUGACUUUGGGAUAACUUCAGGAAACUGGGGCUAAUACCGGAUAGGAGCUCCUGCUGCAUGGUGGGGGUUGGAAAGUUUCGGCGGUUGGGGAUGGACUCGCGGCUUAUCAGCUUGUUGGUGGGGUAGUGGCUUACCAAGGCUUUGACGGGUAGCCGGCAUGAGAGGGUGACCGGCCACAUUGGGACUGAGAUACGGCCCAGACUCCUACGGGAGGCAGCAGUGGGAAAUAUUGCACAAUGGGCGGAAGCCUGAUGCAGCAACGCCGCGUGCGGGAUGACGGCCUUCGGGUUGUAAACCGCUUUCGCCUGUGACGAAGCGUGAGUGACGGUAAUGGGUAAAGAAGCACCGGCUAACUACGUG
RNAcentral lists this ribosomal RNA (468 nucleotides) under uncultured bacterium. Its description in RNAcentral is "partial 16S ribosomal RNA". It matches the Rfam family "Bacterial small subunit ribosomal RNA", at positions 28 to 507 of the family's 1533-position model. The record is from RNAcentral.